GUGUCCAGGUCUGGGCCCCUCCGUUCAGGAAGGACUUUGAGGUGCUGGAGCAGGUCCAGAGAAGGACAACAGAGCUGGGGAAGGGUCUGGAGCACAAAUCCUAUAGGGAGCAGCUGAGGCAGGUGGGAGAAAAUGUUGCUCAGGGGUGACCUUAUUGCUCUCUAGAACUACCUGGAAGGAGGUUAAAGCCAGAUUCCUGUGAGAGCAGCUUGAGCACCAAGCCAGGAGUGAGCCGUGCCUUAUGUUGACCAAGUCACCAAUCUGCAGUGGCUGGGCAGCAGGAUCCAUGGAGCAGAUGGAGAGAAGAAUCACAGCCCACCCCACAUCCAUGAGGACAUCACCACGUUCCCUGCCAGACAGCCAUCUGCCUUCAUGUGCCACUGUCUGCUUCCUCACAAGACAGCCUGUCCAGUCCUAUGUUCCAGAGCUGUGCUAUGGCACCAGGAGGCCACAUAAGCUUACAGUGACAAUGACGCCCUUUCCCUGCUCUUGGAAUUACUCUAGUGACCUGCACUGGGAGUUUUGCUUUUCUCAGCUUUCAGACCACAAGGCCGGAAAGGAAUCCUUCCAUCAAAGUGCAUUUACUGUAGUCUCAAAAUAAGAUGCAUGCCUCUGAGGCCAGCCUCUUGAGAGAUGCUGUGCAAGGGAAAGAGCCUGUGUGGUUUCUGUUUCUCUGUUCUUGAGAAUACUUUUCGUGGGCCCCCCUAAAAAAAGAAAUUAAUAAAAAAACCACCCCAAGAGCAGUGUCUUGCAGAGACACUGUGAUUUGAAAUCGGGGUGUGGUUCCAGAGAGUUGUUAAACCUGUGCAAAA
Manacus vitellinus (golden-collared manakin) is the source of this 812-nucleotide long non-coding RNA. RefSeq lists it as uncharacterized. NCBI's taxonomy places the organism in Eukaryota, Metazoa, Chordata, Aves, Passeriformes, Pipridae. The record is from RefSeq and is a predicted model, not a curated record. The transcript has 2 exons.